This 8825-nucleotide long non-coding RNA is filed under the name Lupinus angustifolius (narrow-leaved blue lupine). Its description in RNAcentral is "long non-coding RNA (LANG_LNC001171)". The record is from RNAcentral. Lineage: Eukaryota; Viridiplantae; Streptophyta; Magnoliopsida; Fabales; Fabaceae.
AAGACAGAAAUUUUACUGAAUCUUCUGAAAUGGAGAUAUCCUACAUCCAAUGACUUUGGAUCUGAAAUCAUUCCAGCAGCUGUAGGGGAACACAAUGUCCAAGUAAGAGAAUUUCCACUAAAUAUAUUUCCUUUUCAAAUGUUUUCAACAAUUCUAGGAGUUAUAUCUUCCAUUUUACUAGGAAAUAAUUCAUAUGACAAGUUUACGAUACAAGUUGAAUGUCUAAUGCUUUUUUGCAGGCGUAUUUUUUCAGAGACUACUGGGAAGACAUUGGAACAAUUAAGUCCUUUUAUGAUGCUAACUUGGCUCUUACUGAAGAGGUAGAUUCAAGAUAUUUGCUUUUACAAUGAAACUCAGCUCAAAUAGCUGCUUAAAUGUAGCAAAUUGUCAAUGUCCUGAAACUAAUAUCUGCUUUAUGUUCUUUUCUUGCAGAAUCCAAUGUUCAAAUUUUAUGAUCCUAAGACACCCAUUUUCACAUCUCCUAGAUUCCUACCACCAACAAAGAUUGAUAAAUGUCGGGUGUGUAUGAUUAUGACUGAUCAUCUAUCUUAAAUGUUUGCUGGUAACUUCAUGAUAUGCCUUGCUUAUGGUCAUAUUUUGAGUUGCUCUUAUAGAUUGUGGAUGCAAUAAUCUCCCAUGGAUGUUUCCUGCGAGAAUGUACUGUCCAACAUUCUAUCGUCGGUGAACGUUCUCGGUUGGAUUACGGUGUCGAGCUUCAGGUAAGUAACAAUAACUUGUAGACUAAAAACACUAGAUCAAUCCAUUUAAGAUUCCUUUUGUGCCAUCUAAAAUCAACUUUUACAGGACACUGUAAUGAUGGGAGCAGACUAUUACCAAACUGAACCCGAAAUUGCUUCUCUGCUGGCAGAGGGGAAGGUUCCCAUUGGGAUUGGACGUAAUACCAAAAUCAAGUAAUCUUACUAAAAGUUACUACAUCAUAAGUGUAACAAACUAACAAUACAUAUUCUGUCUAUGUAUAAAGAAUUUAGCUUGACAUGUUAGUGAACUGAUAUUGUUAUUUGUCUCUGUUGAAGGAACUCCAUAAUUGACAAGAAUGCUAAGAUUGGGAAAGAUGUCAUCAUAAUGAACAAAGAUGUGAGCAUGUGUACCCCUUCUCAUCUUGUUUUUACAUUUGAACCAAUUUUAUCAGUUAUUAGUCUGCACUUCAUACUAUCUCUCUUACCAAUUCAUAUGGAAAUCUGUAGGGUGUUCAAGAAGCAGAUAGACCAGAUGAUGGAUUUUACAUUCGAUCGGGAAUCACCAUCAUAAUGGAGAAGGCAACUAUAGAAGACGGCACUGUCAUAUAAAUGAUCCAUACGUGGUUUCAAGAGCUGGUUGGUUGCCAAGAAUAGCUGGAAGAUUGAAGAAGCAUUCUAAAGAACACUCCAUCUUUGGGAACACAAGGGUAGCAGUGGCAACACUAAGUCUAACUGAGAAAGAAGCUGCACCCUUUUUGCUAUGCAUGUAAAAUAGAAGUUCUUCCACUAUGUGUAAAAUUAGAAUGAAUAAAACAUGAAUUAAGAUGCAAAAAAGCAAAUAAAAUGAAAAAUUGAGGGUGAACUCUCAAGCUGCUUUCUACCAAUAUCAAGAGCAUUACUAUUACUAGUGAUAAUGAAUUUCACUACUCUCUUAACACAACUAUACAAUGAUAGAUAGUUGUUUGUCUCAACAAAAUUGAAGGUCAAAAUACAUAAAUACAUUUAGCAGCCAUUGAACAAAAUAGAAGUGAUGGGAAUGCAAAUAAACUAGCAGGUACAUCAAGAGCAGAGGGUAAUCAUGUAUGAUGGGGGUUAUAGUUUUGACAUGUACAACUUCUGGCUUUAAGCCCAAGUUCUUGGUGAGGGCAUGUUAUGUGAGAGACAUAGUCUUAGAGAGGUGCAACAGCAAAAGCUUAUCCUCCCAAAUGGUAAAUGGUUUGAGACUCCACAGGGGAACAUGGAUUUGAAUCCUGCUAGGCUAGUUAUUUUAGAGACAGAUUUUGAUGAGUGUGGUGGACCAUUGAAGUUAAGCUUUCCCUAAAGGCUACUGAUGAUGGUUCUUCUAUGAUUCAUUGUCAUCAUUCUGCCUCCUAUCUUUAGUUUUAGAAUAAAAAUAUGGGGACAACAAAGGAAGAGAUGCAAUUCAUAUCCUGUACGAGAAGGAUAUUGAUGCAAAUGCCAUUCUCAUUUAGCACGUCAUAUUUUCUAGGAAUAUGAAAAGGGUGAAUGACUUUUUCUAUCCUGGACCAGAUUCCUCAGAUUGAGCAAACCUGUUCCCAUCUUUUCUUUCCUUUACCUUUAUUCCUACUUCUAUGUUUUUUUCUUUGGGGAUAGGUGUUUAUUUGGAUCGGCUUUUUCACUAUAAACUCCUCUUUCCCUGCCAAAAAACCGCUACGCUUUUAAGUUUGAACAUGAAGGGUCCAUGGAAGCAACAUAUUACUGAUAUUGUCUCCAAUCUUUAUUGGUUUAUACUUUCAUUAAGAACUGAUAAACUUGGUUUUAGACCUUGAGAAACACACAUGUUUGAACUUUGAAGUUUCAAUUAGGAUAAAAGCUGGUUUUACUAGACUUCAAACUCUUUCCACAAUCAUAAUCUUUUCAUGUGAAUGAUUAACCUGAGAAAAAUAUGAUUAGUCACUUUAACCUCGAAAAGUUGCAGAGCUUCACCACAUUUGAGGAAGCUAUUGCUCACGAAUGAAAAACUCAUCCCAAAAGUUCCUAUUAUAUAGAAAACUCAUUCAACAUGAUAUUCUAUCAAACCUUACGACUAAGAGACUAACACUCUUAAUGUAUGCAUAGCUGGUUAAUCUGACACUGGUGAUGAGACAAGAUACAAGCCCCCCACCUUGGAUGAAAACGGGUUACUACAUACAUAUACAUACAUAAAAAGCAUGCUCCUAUACCACACGUACUAUCUUUAGAUGCAUGCACAUCUUACUUUUUGUUUCAAUUAAUCCAAACCUGAGGAGAACAAGGUAGCAUGAUAAGCAACAUGUUCAAGAUGAUAGUGGCAUAUAGGAUGAUCAUUUCUCACUUUUCUGUAUGACUUCUUCAAGUACAGAGUAAGCAGCCUUAUCUCAUGUAACCCUCUCAAAGUAACCCCAUAGAUCUCCCACCAUAAACUUCACAAGAAAUUUAUAUCACCGAUGGCAAAUAAUUUCAAAAUCCCUUCAUAUUCCAAACUACCACAGGUCCCUUUUUCAUAAGCUCGGAGGGAUUCAAACAGUUCAUUGCCUUUCCCAUCAUUGCCAUAGCAGCAAUACUUGGAAACUGUUUCUUUUGGAACUCUUCUGGAGUGUUUGAAAACUUCGGUUCACGAAACUCUGUUAAUGCAUGCUUCUUUUGGGGAGAUAUAUCAUGAUUAUGACACCACCUCCUGAUCCAUGGAUGUGAAAGCGUAAUUUCUGCAGUUUUGUUCUCUUCAGUGGAAGAGGAUUUGCCAUUUGUUAAUACUGUUGCACAUAGGUCUGGCACCAUCCGCUCUUCAGUAUGACAUGCCAUUUUCGGUUCCAGUCUAGUUUUGCUACCUUUCAUUUUGAUGAAAGUAUUGUUUACUUUUGCAUGCAAAGAAGUUUCUCCGAUUGUUGCACUCUUGGUACCAUGAGCAGAUCUUGGUGAGCAUAACUUGAGUCGUUUUACCCAUCUGCUGCUAGGAUCUGGUCCCAAAGAACUAUUUCCAGAUUUUGACAUUUCAUUCUCAUCUGCGUGAGAAAGGAGGUGCUCCACGUCGAGGCUGCGGGUUCUUGAUGUGCUGUUCUCCCUGUCAGCCACUGGACUAGCCAGAGCUACCGGUCUACCUUUCUUUUUCUCUCCAACUGAAGUAAUUGCAACUUGAGAUGUGGGCGAGUUUUGGCUAUCCUCGAAGCACUACAAAAUUCAAAUUUUGAUCAACGUCACCCGGUUAACACCUCAAAGUUUAAAAUAGUAUCAGAAUGAACCAUACACAACAAUAUGAUUGCUAACUAGCAUAAGCAAAGGGUCAUGUUAACCAGGGGUUUCUUAAGUAAGCAAGUAAAAAUGUAUCUUCCUUUUGAUGUUAUCUCGCUUUAGGUAAACCUUUGCCAACCAUUUAAAUGACUAACCAAAAAACUGGUGAUAAAAAAUAAAAUGGCAUGGUAUCAAGAAGAUGAAGCACCAGACAGAUUACCUUAUUUGUUCGCAGUGGAACAAUACCUGCAUCAAACAAGAGCGAGUUUCAGAUAUUCAGCUAGAAAACAACAUCAAAACUAUGAAACUUGCAGACAACAACAAAGAUUAAAAUUAAACUUGGUUGAAAAUAUGGAGAACAGGACAUUAUGCUGUUUAAUACUAAAAACCAGAAUAUCUGGGAGGUUUUUAUAAUACAAGUCUUCAAGAAUAGCAUGAAAUGGGAUGUCCCAUAAAUGCGUGCGUACAUACCAGAAAGAUGAUUCUCACGUAAAGCGUCAAUGUCCAUAGUAUCAGUUUCAGCAGAUGAUUCAUUCUUCUGGCUUGUUGGACUAUUGAGAUCUUGGACAUUUUCCUCUCCUUCACUCUUCUUGGAGCUCCCUCGAGCUACCAGCUUCGCACCUUCAAAAUCACGGUCACUAGUAGAUGGAGAGGAAUCAAUCAUCUCAUUGAAAGAAUUUCCCUUGAAUUUGGUAGGUGAUAUUGACUCUCUAAAGAUCUGACCUUGGUCGGAUAAAUUAACAUCAGUCUUUUUUGACAUCAGAAAAUGGUGAGUUGUCUGGGACAUUUUGGGAUGAUCUCUUGACGACUCUUCUAUUGAAUCUAUACUGGUGUAUAUCUUCAUUGUGUCCGCAUUAGCAGUAGAAUAUCCAUCACCACCGCCUUGAGUCCAUCUUGGAAAGGAAAAUCUUCGAGGAUCAAACAGGUUACUCUUUUUUUUCCCACGGAUGAAAAGGGAAUAGGUAUGGUAUUUAGUAUUUGUGAAAUGCUCUUGAGAUGCUAACUUGUAGCUUGAUUGAUAUAUUUCAUGCUGCUCACAUGUGGAUGUUGGCACCAAGGUUUUUCCCUGGUCCUGUCCAUUUGGAACUUUGCCAGAAGCUGAUUUUACAAAGCUAUUCCAUACUGGUUUUGCAACAGCAAGGUUGUCCUGUUCAACACCGCACCGAGACUUCAUCAACAAAGGUGCCGGUGAAAUUCCUUUAGACAAUAAUUGAUACUCUCUUCCUAAAGUUUCUUUUUGAGGAGCAGCAUGUGCAGAUGUUGAUGGUAAGUGACUCCAAGUUCUAUAACGAGAAACAUUAUCAUCUCCACAUCUGGAUUCAGUUUCAAAUUUCCGAUCUUUCCCCUGGGAAGCACCACUCCAUUUUGAAUCUAAGCUUGCUUUCUUUGAUUUUCCAGGGUCCACCUCAUUGCUGAAGGUAACCCUUGUAUCCCUAUCUGCUUCUCUGGUUGCUCCAGCAUGCACAGAACAAUCUAUAACAAUCUCUGACCGACGAUCACGACGCAAAUCAUGCUUAACCUCACAACGAUUACGAGCUGAAGUUGUCGAUGACUUAUAAUUUGUCUGUGUCCAAUGAGACAUCCACAGGGAUUGGUAACCAUGCAUUACCUGAGCAUCCACACCCUCACCCUCAUGACAUGCAUGUGCAAUAUCAUUAGGCAUAAUGACUAAUUCCCUUUUUUCCACCACACAAACUUAGUUAAGUAUCAUAAGAGUUCAAAACCUGGAUUUUUGAGAUAAAAAAAUUAGCAUCCAUCUUAAAAACCUAACAUGCAGGUACAGAAUAACGAAUAAAAGCAUAUAAUAAGUAUCCAACACUUUCACAUAAAGAAAGUUGAAUCCUAUUCCUACUUGAUAGAGAAACCAGUGGCAAAACAACGAAUAUAGAUCAGUAAAUGUAUGUUUUGGCAUGAAAAUUAAAUAGAAAGAAUUUCAUUGUGAAAUUCAUCAAACAACAAAGUAAACAAUAAUAAAAUUCAUUUGAAGUUACCUUCAAGAUUGAGAGAGAGUGAAAUCGGUGAAAAUGUGAAGCAGGGAAAUAAAAGCAACUCAGAAGAAGUAGCAGUAGAAGAAGAAGAAGAAGAAAUGAAGAGAGAAGAAAAGUGUGUUCCUGCAUGAAAUCAACGGUUCAAAUUCCCGUGAAAGGUGGGUCCCACGCGCAUGGAAUAAAUCUUGGGCGUUGAUACUCUGGUAAUGUAGUUAGCUUAGGAAAAAAGAUCAGCUUAGUUUUGUUGGGUUCAAACUAGUGAGUCAUCAACCACCACAUAAAUCGUGGUCGAGCCGGUGGGACCCACUCAUCUGCACUUUUCUUAGUAUUGGCUGGCUGGUCUUUUUUUGUUUUUUUGUGUAACAAAACUUUUGUAAAGACAUAUAUACAUGAAGACAACCAAUAAAACAUUAUCAACAUAUUAAGAAUUUAAUUUCAGUUAAAAAUUAUUCAUAAAUGAUAGUAUUAAAAAACAUAAAUACACUUAUCUCUAUACAUGACACCACAGAUAUGCUUCCGUGCAAGUUUUUUGUUUGUUUUUUUUCGUUCAUCUUUCUCGUAUGCUUCGAAUUAUGCGACGUGGCCACUGUAAAACCAUAUCUCAUGAAUAAAAUCAUUCAGAUUUGGUUUGAUUUUGUGCUUAUUUCUUUAUAUUGCCUGAUUUUUUUUCGUUUUUUUUCUCAGCUUUUUCCUCUUACCAAACGAGCUGCUACACCUGCAGUGAGUAUUUUGGUUGAUUGAACAAGCAUCACUUUUUGGUGAAUAAAAGGAAACUAUGAAAUAUUUGGUGUGCAUUUUCAGGUUCCACUUGGUGGAUGCUACAGGCUUAUAGAUAUCCCAAUGAGCAACUGCAUCAAUAGUUGCAUUAACAAAAUAUUUGUAUUGACUCAGUUCAAUUCUGCAUCCCUGAACCGUCACAUCUCCCGCACUUAUUUUGGAAAUGGCAUCAACUUUGGGGAUGGAUGUGUAGAGGUAUGUUUCAAGGAAAUGGAUAGAAAUUGUUGGAGGUCAUGCAUCAUAUUGUAGUUGGUUUCUUGCAUCAGAUAUAUUAAUGGGACUUAAAUUUGCCAGUAACAGUGGAGAAAAGAGAAACUCAAGAUCUACACUUCAUAUAGGAUGACAAAAUAUUCAUAAAUUGUGAAAAUAAUAUUUUUAAUCUGGGGACUAAUUCUGUUUAGAUGCUGUGGUUGGUAGACAAGUAUAAGCACUAUAAGGUUCAUGUGUGUUUUGGGAGGAGGGGGUGCCAACAUUUUAUCAAAUUGUGGACCGCAUACCUGACACGGACACAAUAUUGUGGUUGGGGUGACCUCUUCAACCGAAUCAUUUUGUAAUUAUGGCAUGAUAUCUAAUCAAUUGAUGCAGUCACAUUGGGAUGUGGCACAAUCACAUUAUAUUGCAUCGGAUCAUAUUUGACCGCAUCAAAUUAAAAAAGAAGUUAAUAACAAAAAUUUCACGGCAUCACAGUUGCAGUCAGCAUCUCAGCAUCCACAAUGACUGCAACUUAAAACACUGUGUGCCAAGUUUCUAUUCAUGCUAACUAAUUAAGGCACAAAUCCUUAACAGGUUCUAGCAGCUACUCAAACACCAGGAGAAGCUGGAAAGAAUUGGUUCCAAGGAACUGCAGAUGCUGUGAGGCAAUUUACAUGGGUAUUUGAGGUGAGAAAAUGAUCUUUUGCAGUAUGUACCAUAAUGCAUGCCCCUCCCUUUAUUACCUAAAACUUGAAGUUUACAGUAAUAGUUUCAAUGUUGUAGGAUGCCAAGCACACAAAUGUUGAGAAUGUAUUGAUUCUGGCUGGAGACCAUCUAUACCGAAUGGAUUACAUGGACCUUGUGCAGGUAUAUAGCGUAAUUUUUUUGGUAUGUUAAGAUCAUUUCUUCAUUCCAUUUUCCGAAGCUUUUUUUUUACUGAUUAUCUUAUGAUAACAUUAUACAGAGCCAUGUUGACAGAAAUGCAGAUAUCACAGUAUCAUGUGCUGCUGUAGGUGACAGGUAAGAUUGGUUGGUUGCGCAUUUGUUUGUUAUCAUAUGAAUCACUUUGCUGCUGGGAGCGGAAUAGAUUGCUUGAAAGUUGAGACUUAUCAUUAUAACUUCAACUUUAGUACACAGUUUCAUUUCCAAUUGCAUGCUUUUCAGCCGUGCAUCGGAUUAUGGAUUGGUCAAUGUAGAUGGAAGAGGCCGCAUUAUCAACUUUUCAGAGAAACCUAAGGGUGCUGAUCUGAAAGCAAUGGUAAGUCCUAACCUAUUCUGAAUCGAUUAACGCAAGAAAAUGAGAGAAAACAAGAGCAAAGAGAGGUUUGAGGUAACAAAAAAAGGUGUUGAAAGAAUGUAAAGCUGAUAUGCUAAUUGUAUUGAUCAGAUGAAAAUUACCCUGUGCAAAAAUAUUUGUGCUCAUUGACAUUCAAUGAGUCUAGACUGAAAUUUUUCAAAGUUGCAUCUUAUUCUUCUUCCUUAGUUAUGUAAUUUUUCUGCAGACUUGUAGCCUCUAAAAAUGUGAAUAUGUGAUCAUGAUAUAUUUAUGUUCCUGUUGAUUCUCUGCAGCAAGUAGAUACCUCUCUUUUCGGAUUGUCACCCCAAGAUGCAUUGAAGUCACCAUAUAUUGCUUCUAUGGGGGUUUAUGUAUUCAAGACAGAAAUUUUACUGAAUCUUCUGAAAUGGAGAUAUCCUACAUCCAAUGACUUUGGAUCUGAAAUCAUUCCAGCAGCUGUAGGGGAACACAAUGUCCAAGUAAGAGAAUUUCCACUAAAUAUAUUUCCUUUUCAAAUGUUUUCAACAAUUCUAGGAGUUAUAUCUUCCAUUUUACUAGGAAAUAAUUCAUAUGACAAGUUUACGAUACAAGUUGAAUGUCUAAUGCUUUUUUGCAGGCGUAUUUUUUCAGAGACUACUGGGAAGACAUUGGAACAAUUAAGUCCUUUUAUGAUGCUAACUUGGCUCU